GCGCGACGUGAAUGGGUGUUUGACAAGCAGUAAGGGAGAGUUCAGGGCCAUGCUAGGUUUAAUGCUUGGAAUUACCGAUGUGAUGUAUUGUUAUUGUGACAGUAGCUUCCGCUGUACGCUCUGGUUCACAAUAAAACGUAUUUACAGUGAAAAACUCCUCUUCAAAUCUGAGCAAACGCCUAGCAAGCCCACCGAGGUGAGCAAGGCGGCUACCACAGCACCGGGACAAACCUGCGACAUCCCCUCCCCUACUAAACAGUUUUAAAAAGAAGACUGUGCAAAGCACAUCAAGUACAAGUGCUUCAGCAACCCCUGCCAUUAUCAAGACAGAUUUGCCAAAAGACUGUCUGAUUUUAGGGGUCAGUUUCUUCUCUAUGGAAACGGCAAGACACAGGAAAGCGGCACAAAGGUGACACCAAAGUGUUGUGAUGUUGGAACCAACACUUCAACAACUGUUGUCUGAUAUGGAGGAAGAAAUGACACCAGUAUGGAGACCGCCGUUUGGGAAUGCUGUGCAGGUUUUACCUGGCAGCACUGCAUCUUAAUGAAAAUGUUCAACAUCUGCAAGCUACUAUCUGAAAUGUCUUUCUCCAAGUUGGGAGUGGGAACAGCUGAGUCCAUCAAAACCCCUGAGAC
Long non-coding RNA from Poecilia latipinna (sailfin molly), 636 nucleotides. RefSeq lists it as uncharacterized. The record is from RefSeq and is a predicted model, not a curated record. The transcript has 4 exons. NCBI's taxonomy places the organism in Eukaryota, Metazoa, Chordata, Actinopteri, Cyprinodontiformes, Poeciliidae.